RNAcentral lists this ribosomal RNA (302 nucleotides) under uncultured bacterium. Its description in RNAcentral is "partial 16S ribosomal RNA". It matches the Rfam family "Bacterial small subunit ribosomal RNA", at positions 508 to 807 of the family's 1533-position model. The record is from RNAcentral.
GCAGCAGCCGCGGGAAAACGAAGGGGGCUAGCGUUACUCGGAAUUACUGGGCGUAAAGGGCGCGUAGGCGGCACGAUUAGUCAGGCGUGAAAUUCCUGGGCUCAACCUGGGGACUGCGCUUGAUACGGUCGAGCUAGAGGAUGGAAGAGGGUUGUGGAAUUCCCAGUGUAGAGGUGAAAUUCGUAGAUAUUGGGAAGAACACCGGUGGCGAAGGCGGCAACCUGGUCCAUUACUGACGCUGAGGCGCGACAGCGUGGGGAGCAAACAGGAUUAGAUACCCGCGUAGUCCCUGUCUCUUAUAC